GAUGAACGCUGGCGGCGUGCCUAAUACAUGCAAGUCGAGCGAACAGACGAGGAGCUUGCUCCUCUGACGUUAGCGGCGGACGGGUGAGUAACACGUGGAUAACCUACCUAUAAGACUGGGAUAACUUCGGGAAACCGGAGAUAAUACCGGAGAAUAUAUUGAACCGCAUGGUUCAAUAGUGAAAGACGGUUUUGCUGUCACUUAUAGAUGGAUCCGCGCCGCAUUAGCUAGUUGGUAAGGUAACGGCUUACCAAGGCGACGAUGCGUAGCCGACCUGAGAGGGUGAUCGGCCGCACUGGAACUGGGACACGGUCCAGACUCCUACGGGAGGCAGCAGUAGGGAAUCUUCCGCAAUGGGCGAAAGCCUGACGGAGCAACGCCGCGUGAGUGGUGAAGGUCUUCGGAUCGUAAAGCUCUGUUAUUAGGGAAGAACAAAUUUGUAAGUAACUAUGCACGUCUUGACGGUACCUAAUCAGAAAGCCCCGGCUAACUACGUG
Molecule: ribosomal RNA, 497 nt
Filed under: uncultured bacterium
Lineage: Bacteria
Description: partial 16S ribosomal RNA
Rfam family: Bacterial small subunit ribosomal RNA
Source: RNAcentral